UCGCUCGCUUUGGCAGCAUAUCUACUAAAACUGGAGCAAUACGGAGACCAUUAGCAUGGCUUCUGUGCAGGAUACAUGUAAAUUCAUGGAGAAGCCUAUACUUUU
RNAcentral lists this small nuclear RNA (105 nucleotides) under Vicugna pacos (alpaca). Lineage: Eukaryota; Metazoa; Chordata; Mammalia; Artiodactyla; Camelidae. The record is from RNAcentral.